RNAcentral lists this ribosomal RNA (484 nucleotides) under uncultured bacterium. RNAcentral describes it as "partial 16S ribosomal RNA". It matches the Rfam family "Bacterial small subunit ribosomal RNA", at positions 30 to 507 of the family's 1533-position model. The record is from RNAcentral.
AUUGAACGCUGGCGGCGGGCCUAACACAUGCAAGUCGAGCGGACGAAGGGAGCUUGCGCCUGGCUUCAGCGGCGGACGGGUGAGUAAUGCCUAGGAAUCUGCCUGGUAGUGGGGGAUAACGUCCGGUAACGGGCGCUAAUACCGCAUACGUCAUGAGGGAGAAAGUGAGGGAUCUUCGGACCACACGCUAUUUGAUGAGCCUAGGUCGGAUUAGCUAGUUGGUGGGGUAAAGGCCUACCAAGGCGACGAUCCAUAACUGGUCUGAGAGGAUGAUCAGUCACACUGGAACUGAGACACGGUCCAGACUCCGACGGGGGGCAGCAGUGGGGAAUAUUAGACAAUGGGCGAAAGCCUGAUCCAGCCAUGCCGCGUGUGUGAAGAAGGUCUUCGGAUGGGAAAGCACUUUAAGUUGGGAGGAAGGACAGUAAGUUAAUACCUUGCUGUUUUGACGUUACCAACAGAAUAAGCACCGGCUAACUUCGUG